Stegodyphus mimosarum is the source of this 73-nucleotide non-coding RNA. Lineage: Eukaryota; Metazoa; Arthropoda; Arachnida; Araneae; Eresidae. The record is from Rfam.
GCCUUUGUGGUGUAGUGGUCAGCACGCUAGACGCGUAUUCUAGAGGUCCAUGGUUCGAGUCCCGUCGAAAGCA